ACGCUCGACACCUACGGGGAGGCAGCAGGUGGGGAAUAUUGCACAAUGGGGGAAACCCUGAUGCAGCGACGCCGCGUGAGUGAAGAAGUAUUUCGGUAUGUAAAGCUCUAUCAGCAGGGAAGAAGAUGACGGUACCUGAGUAAGAAGCCCCGGCUAACUACGUGCCAACAGCCGCGGUAAUCUGAGCGGGCUGGCAAGGC
RNAcentral lists this ribosomal RNA (200 nucleotides) under uncultured bacterium. Its description in RNAcentral is "partial 16S ribosomal RNA". It matches the Rfam family "Bacterial small subunit ribosomal RNA", at positions 328 to 539 of the family's 1533-position model. The record is from RNAcentral.